AGAGUUUGAUCCUGGCUCAGGAUGAACGCUGGCGGCGUGCUUAAUACAUGCAAGUCGAACGGGGUCUAGCGAGUAGUUAUCUACUUGCGAAAGCCUAGUGGCGGACGGGUGAGUAACGCGUGGGUAAUCUGCCCCUAAGUCCGGGAUAACAGAGCGAAAGUUUUGCUAAGACCGGAUACUCUUCCUUAGUCGCAUGGCUGAGGAAGGAAAGGAUUACCGCUUAGGGAUGAGCCCGCGUCCCAUUAGCUAGUUGGUGAGGUAACGGCCCACCAAGGCGACGAUGGGUAGCCGGCCUGAGAGGGUGUACGGCCACACUGGGACUGAGACACGGCCCAGACUCCUACGGGAGGCAGCAGUAGGGAAUUUUCGGCAAUGGGCGAAAGCCUGACCGAGCAACGCCGCGUGAGGGAAGAAGGUCUUCGGAUCGUAAACCUUUGUCAUCGGGGACGAUGAUGACGGUACUCGAGGAGGAAGCCCCGGCUAACUACGUGCCAGCAGCCGCGGUAAUACGUAGGGGGCGAGCGUUGUCCGGAAUUACUGGGCGUAAAGGGCGCGUAGGCGGUCUAAUAAGUCAGAUGUGAAAUUCUUGGGCUUAACCCAGGAUGUGCAUUUGAAACUGUUGGACUUGAGGGCAGGAGAGGAAAGCGGAAUUCCCAGUGUAGCGGUGAAAUGCGUAGAUAUUGGGAGGAACACCAGUGGCGAAGGCGGCUUUCUGGACUGUACCUGACGCUGAGGCGCGAAAGCCAGGGGAGCGAACGGGAUUAGAUACCCCGGUAGUCCUGGCCGUAAACGAUGGAUACUAGGUGUGGGAGGUAUCGACCCCUUCCGUGCCGGAGCAAACGCAAUAAGUAUCCCGCCUGGGGAGUACGGCCGCAAGGCUGAAACUCAAAUGAAUUGACGG
RNAcentral lists this ribosomal RNA (901 nucleotides) under uncultured bacterium. Its description in RNAcentral is "bacterial SSU rRNA". It matches the Rfam family "Bacterial small subunit ribosomal RNA", at positions 8 to 916 of the family's 1533-position model. The record is from RNAcentral.